CUUUAUCACCGAGUGCUUGCACUCACCGAUAAAGAGUUGAGUGGCGAACGGGUGAGUAACACGUGGGCAACCUGCCCAAAAGAGGGGGAUAACACUUGGAAACAGGUGCUAAUACCGCAUAACCAUAGUUACCGCAUGGUAACUAUGUAAAAGGUGGCUAUACUACCGCUUUUGGAUGGGCCCGCGGCGCAUUAGCUAGUUGGUAGGGUAAAGGCUUACCAAGGCAAUGAUGCGUAGCCGAAUUGAGAGGUUGAUCGGCCACAUUGGGACUGAGACACGGCCCAAACUCCUACGGGAGGCAGCAGUAGGGAAUCUUCCACAAUGGGCGAAAGCCUGAUGGAGCAACGCCGCGUGGGUGAAGAAGGUCUUCGGAUCGUAAAACCCUGUUGUUAGAGAAGAAAGUGCGUGAGAGUAACUGUUCACGUUUCGACGGUAUCUAACCAGAAAGCCACGGCUAACUACGUGCCAGCAGCCGCGGUAAUACGUAGGUGGCAAGCGUUAUCCGGAUUUAUUGGGCGUAAAGGGAACGCAGGCGGUCUUUUAAGUCUGAUGUGAAAGCCUUCGGCUUAACCGGAGUAGUGCAUUGGAAACUGGGAGACUUGAGUGCAGAAGAGGAGAGUGGAACUCCAUGUGUAGCGGUGAAAUGCGUAGAUAUAUGGAAGAACACCAGUGGCGAAAGCGGCUCUCUGGUCUGUAACUGACGCUGAGGUUCGAAAGCGUGGGUAGCAAACAGGAUUAGAUACCCUGGUAGUCCACGCCGUAAACGAUGAAUGCUAAG
Molecule: ribosomal RNA, 778 nt
Filed under: uncultured bacterium
Lineage: Bacteria
Description: bacterial SSU rRNA
Rfam family: Bacterial small subunit ribosomal RNA
Source: RNAcentral